UGGAAAAGGUUUAACGAACAAGAUAAUAGACUAUUGUCUUCAAUUUGUUUAAUUAUAAAUACCUUCACUCAAGGACGAGCUCGAAGGCGGCUCAACGUCAUUCGAACACAGGAUUUGCAAGAGUGAGAAGAUCGUACUCAGGUUGAGGGGAUGUCGCCGACUUGAGAACGGACAGUCACACAGUGUCAUUG
This 191-nucleotide small RNA is filed under the name Vibrio cholerae O1 biovar El Tor str. N16961. Lineage: Bacteria; Pseudomonadati; Pseudomonadota; Gammaproteobacteria; Vibrionales; Vibrionaceae. The record is from RNAcentral.